CUACGGGGUGCUGCAGUGAGGAAUAUUGCACAAUGGGGGGAACCCUGAUGCAGCAACGCCGCGUGGAGGAUGACGCAUUUCGGUGUGUAAACUCCUUUCAUAUGUCAAGAAAAUGACGGUAGCAUAUGAAUAAGCACCGGCUAACUCCGUACCAGCAGCCGCGGUAAUACGGAGGGUGCAAGCGUUACUCGGAAUCACUGGGCGUAAAGGACGCGUAGGCGGGUUGGAAAGUCAGGUGUGAAAUCCUACAGCUUAACUGUAGAACUGCACUUGGAACUUCUAAUCUAGAGUAUGGGAGGGGGAGAUGGAAUUAGUGGUGUAGGGGUACAAUCCGUAGAUAUCACUAGGAAUACCUAAAGCGAAGGCGAUCUCCUGGAACAUUACUGACGCUAAGGCGUGAAAGCGUGGGGAGCAAACAGGAUUAGAUACCCCGGUAGUC
This 439-nucleotide ribosomal RNA is filed under the name uncultured bacterium. Its description in RNAcentral is "partial 16S ribosomal RNA". It matches the Rfam family "Bacterial small subunit ribosomal RNA", at positions 339 to 795 of the family's 1533-position model. The record is from RNAcentral.